Long non-coding RNA from Ctenopharyngodon idella (grass carp), 2234 nucleotides. RefSeq lists it as uncharacterized. The record is from RefSeq and is a predicted model, not a curated record. The transcript is spliced from 3 exons. NCBI's taxonomy places the organism in Eukaryota, Metazoa, Chordata, Actinopteri, Cypriniformes, Xenocyprididae.
ACGUAGUAACGCGGGUUCUUUAAUGAGAUGAAGUGCAGUGAAAACACAAGUUCGCAGUCCUCCACGCGCGUUUUACUAGGUUGUGAACAUGCGUCAUGACGCAAAGGAACUUGUCCCAGGACUAACUUUUUUCCUAGGUGGACUGAAUAACCCUGACUGCUGGAAAUGGCUUUAUAGCCAGCCAAUCAGAAUGGAACGGCAAUUUUUGGAGGCUGAAACGAGACAAAACAUACUUUUCAAUUUGAACUUCAUGCCAGAGCUUCAGGAAGGUGAAAGCAAGGUGGGAGUCUUACAAACGCAAGGUGCAAGCGAGAAAAAAGGGAAGAAGAAAAAGAAAACCACACACGCCAUCCAUUGGUCUUUGUAUUGAUUCACAGGGGUGUUGAAAAGGUCUUUGGUCAUGCCCUUACCAAAGCAUACUAAUUUGCUUGAUCAAGUCUGUCAGAAUAUCGACUGGGAGGAGGUACAGCGCCCGCCAUUGUGUUUUCUUCAGCGGGGAGCCGGUCUGUGAAACAGGAUUACCAGAGGUCACGCAGGCAGUGAAAGGAUGUCCAUCACUUUCUGUCUGCUAAUACAAAGGGGCGGGAACUGGGACGUGAUUGAGAUGUUGAAGAGAAGAGGAAUGGCAGUUUCAAAAAAGAAAAACAUCUCUUGCAUGCAAAUGUCUCACUGUUAAUGUAUUCAUAGCCAUCUCACGGAGUUUUAAUCACAGAAGAUGGCUGGCUUACAGUUUCCUGUUUUAUUUCAGGCUCAGAAACAGAAGGUUGAAAUUGAACACUGUUGCUGUGUUUGCUGCAGUCAAAAAAUAAAAUUAAAAGUUAAUUGUUUCAGCUUUAUUGUAACAUUUCAUAAAUUUGACCUUGACAGUGACAAUGAGUUUUACAAAAUUAUCAGUUUUACAAAAUUAGUAAUUCCUUAAAAUAAUCAGCUGAAAAAUGAAUUUUAUACAGUCUAAAUGUUUUAAAUUACAGGAAAACAGAAUAACCUCGCAUUAACAUUGCGGAGAGAUACAGCAUUGUCUGCUAUGAGGAGCAAGAUAAAAAAUCUCAUAAAAGUUAUCAAUUUAAUAAAAAUGUACUGCAUCAAAGGUCUAAAUUUCAACAACAACAAAAUUAAUUUCUUUUCAUUUAAUGCAUUUCUUUUCGCCCCUUUCAGGAGUUACUAAAUUUAUUGUAUUCAUUUUGAAUUGGCUUGAGCAGGUGAAAAGAUGUACAUUUUAAGCUUAGGGAAAACUGUCAGAACUGUAAAGAAGCUUUUACAAAAAAAAAAAAAAAAAAAAACUUUCAGGUUGUGGGGGUUAUUUGCAAUAUAAUUUUUAUCAAUUUAAAUGUUAAAUGGUCUUCUGCAUUAUUGACAUCUGAUAUGACAAAAAAAAAAUUAAACAAACAUGAAAAGUAAAUUCAAAUUUGCCAUAUUGUAUAAAUGUUUCACAGUCACUUUGCCCAACUGUAUGUUCCCGAUGAGCGUGGGGCUCUAUAAAUAACCCAUUGUGUCUGGACUCCUAAUGUUUCCUAAUCUCUGCACACUGCUGAAAUUCUACGCCACAUCAUCCAACAAGCCUCUUUGCUCAACAGUGGUUUUUAUUAUACCCAUUAUUAUAACAAAUAUCCAAUUAUCUAUUAUCUUGUAGAUCUGAUUGUAUACCUCUUUGUGGCGGUAAGGUCAAAUACUCUUACCUCUAUACGUGGAACAUCUGCCUGUGCUUCCUGUCUCAUCUGCAGCCCUCGUGGCCAGCAGCCCUUUUAACCUGAUCACAUAGGUAUUUUGCUUUCAUUCCCCCCCUGCGUUUUGUUUGUUUGAUUGGCUGAGCAGGUGUUUUAUAACCAUUAGAGACUUCAUUGCGACCCUGUCUCUGAGUAGUAAGCAAAUAGAACAAGCAGACAGCCAAGUCAUGCAAGUGAUUUCUUUCCCUCAAUGGAACCAUCUGGUGACUGAGCCAAAGAAAAAAAGGAAGCAUAGGUCGUCAGUGUGGUUGUUUACCUUUGGCUACAUAAUUGUGUUUCGAGGAAAGCGUGAGGUCACGGGCGAGGCUGCCAGUCGGUUCGGCAGGUUUCAAGGGCUUCGUUGGUGUCCUUGUUUGUUGCGAUUUCUUAUUUGUGGAGUCUGUAUUAAGUCUGUAUUAUUUAAUUAUUGAUAAUGUUUUUUAAUUAUACUAACUGUUGUAGUCUAAAAAUUGUAUAUUCCACUUAAUGUUUUAAUAAUUGAUUUUUUAAUUGAAAUAAAUGUAUUUAAUA